CGCUGGCGUUAGGCAGGCCGCAGCAUUGGAGAUGCUUGCGGACAACACCAGGUGGCAGGGCGAGGCAAAGCAGCAGCUCGCUGAUGAGGCGAGGCGUCAUCAAGUAGCUGCCGUGCACCAGGCUGGUAAUCUAGCUGACGUGCAAGAGCUGCAGGGGUGUCGGUGCCCUCAUCGAGGCCCCGUUGCGACUUUCCAGCAGCAGCCACCAGUGGCAUAAGGACCUGUGCGCCAAGUGUGGCAGCUUUGGAAGGGCCGAAGAAGGCAGGCUCAUCGCAUGGCCCAAUGUGGGCGGUGCUACAAUCCUUACUGUGUCAACGUCAAGGUGACAAAGAUUAUCUUGAAGAAGGGAUGGUGCUACCUGGAUCACACAGCAUGUGAAGGCUGUGGCCAGCUGCAUGACAAGAGCCAGCUUCUGCUUUACGACGAGUGCAACAUCAGCUACCACACGUACUGUCGCUUUCCACCCCUCGAAAGAGUACCUGGGUAACUGGAAGUGCUGUUGGCGCUGGGAUCAAAGAAAAGCAGUCGCUUCACUUUGUGAA
This is a long non-coding RNA of Rhipicephalus microplus (southern cattle tick), 542 nucleotides long. NCBI's taxonomy places the organism in Eukaryota, Metazoa, Arthropoda, Arachnida, Ixodida, Ixodidae. The record is from RefSeq and is a predicted model, not a curated record.